UGGGGAAUUUUGGACAAUGGGGGAAACCCUGAUCCAGCCAUCCCGCGUGUGCGAUGAAGGCCUUCGGGUUGUAAAGCACUUUCAGCGAGGGAGGAAGGUGGUGGACUUAAUACGUUCAUCAAUUGACGUUACUCGCAGAAGAAGCACCGGCUAACUCCGUGCCAGCAGCCGCGGUAAUACGGAGGGUGCAAGCGUUAAUCGGAAUUACUGGGCGUAAAGCGCACGCAGGCAGGUUUGUUAAGUCAGAUGUGAAAUCCCCGGGCUCAACCUGGGAACUGCAUUUGAAACUGGCAAGCUAGAGUCUCGUAGAGGGGGGUAGAAUUCCAGGUGUAGCGGUGAAAUGCGUAGAGAUCUGGAGGAAUACCGGUGGCGAAGGCGGCCCCCUGGACGAAGACUGACGCUCAGGUGCGAAAGGCGUGGGGGAGCAAACAGGAUUAGAUACCCUGGUAGUCCACGCUGUAAACGAUGUCGAUUUUGGAGGUUGUGCCCUUGAGGCGUGGCUUCCGGAGCUAACGCGUUAAAUCGACCGCCUGGGGAGUACGGCCGCAAGGUUAAAACUCAAAGGAAUUG
RNAcentral lists this ribosomal RNA (570 nucleotides) under uncultured bacterium. RNAcentral describes it as "partial 16S ribosomal RNA". It matches the Rfam family "Bacterial small subunit ribosomal RNA", at positions 355 to 912 of the family's 1533-position model. The record is from RNAcentral.